AGUAACACGUGGGCAAUCUGCCCUGCACUCUGGGACAAGCCCUGGAAACGGGGUCUAAUACCGGAUAAUACCUUCCCUCGCAUGGGGGUGGGUUCAAAGCUCCGGCGGUGCAGGAUGAGCCCGCGGCCUAUCAGCUUGUUGGUGAGGUAGUGGCUCACCAAGGCGACGACGGGUAGCCGGCCUGAGAGGGCGACCGGCCACACUGGGACUGAGACACGGCCCAGACUCCUACGGGAGGCAGCAGUGGGGAAUAUUGCACAAUGGGCGAAAGCCUGAUGCAGCGACGCCGCGUGAGGGAUGACGGCCUUCGGGUUGUAAACCUCUUUCAGCAGGGAAGAAGCGAAAGUGACGGUACCUGCAGAAGAAGCGCCGGCUAACUACGUGCCAGCAGCCGCGGUAAUACGUAGGGCGCAAGCGUUGUCCGGAAUUAUUGGGCGUAAAGAGCUCGUAGGCGGUUUGUCGCGUCGGAUGUGAAAGCCCGGGGCUUAACCCCGGGUCUGCAUUCGAUACGGGCAGACUAGAGUGUGGUAGGGGAGAUCGGAAUUCCUGGUGUAGCGGUGAAAUGCGCAGAUAUCAGGAGGAACACCGGUGGCGAAGGCGGAUCUCUGGGCCAUUACUGACGCUGAGGAGCGAAAGCGUGGGGAGCGAACAGGAUUAGAUACCCUGGUAGUCCACGCCGUAAACGGUGGGAACUAGGUGUUGGCGACAUUCCACGUCGUCGGUGCCGCAGCUAACGCAUUAAGUUCCCCGC
This 751-nucleotide ribosomal RNA is filed under the name Streptomyces sp. RNAcentral describes it as "bacterial SSU rRNA". It matches the Rfam family "Bacterial small subunit ribosomal RNA", at positions 109 to 872 of the family's 1533-position model. The record is from RNAcentral. Lineage: Bacteria; Bacillati; Actinomycetota; Actinomycetes; Kitasatosporales; Streptomycetaceae.